This 964-nucleotide unclassified non-coding RNA is filed under the name Hevea brasiliensis (rubber tree). Lineage: Eukaryota; Viridiplantae; Streptophyta; Magnoliopsida; Malpighiales; Euphorbiaceae. The record is from RNAcentral.
AAAAAAAAAAAGUACGGAGAAUUUCACAGAAAUUUAAGCAGAUUUUUUAUUCCUUAUGAAUCAACAAAAGAAAAUUUUCCCAACAGUUAACAAUACCAGUUGACAUGCAACCGUUUGUUGUGUCUCCAAGGGCAUGGACAUGGAAUCCAUGAAGCCCAGGCUUCAGGCCAGAAACGUUUCCAGUUACAGUGGUCUGACCUGAUGAAAAAUGAAUAGAAGAGGGUUAUACACAAAAGAAAUUACCAAUUCAAAUUCCAGGUCUAACUGCUAAGAGUGCAGAUAUACCAUCUCCUUCUUGGGAGAAGAAAAUUGUCCCGCUAACACCCUCACUACUUCCAAGAACAGCAACGGCCUUCACCAUUGUUCUACGUGAUCUAGAAAACAUGAAAGUUAGGAAGUUACAUAUAAGCAGUUGCCUAGGUAAAAGAAACUGAAAAAGCAGAUCAAAGAGCACAUGUGCCGCGCCAUUUACAUCCCAAAAAACCCACAUAGAUCACAAUAAAGUUUCUCGUACAACAAUUAUAGAAAUGAGAAAAUAUUUAAGUUGGAUUAAAAAAACUAGUUAGAUCUACGAACAAACCUUAAGAUCCACAAGCAAACAAAAUAAAAACAUCAAAUCCGAGUACAAAUUUAACACUCAAGCAAAGAAAAUACACUAUAAAAGAAAACAAAAAAGAUCAUACAUAAAAAUAGUAUAUAUAACACACCAAAAUAGGCUUCUAAGCAAAUGAUCUAACCAAAAAGAACAGUAAUUAUAAGGAAACAAAACAUAAAUGAUGAUCAAAAUCAAAGCAUAGAUCGAUCUAGAUCAAAAUAGAGCGUCAGAAUACACAGGCCAUUACCUCAGAGCACCCCUUUAGAGUUUAGACAGAGAAAGUAGAGAGAAAGAGAGAGACAGAGAGUAGAGAGUGUGUGUGUCAGGCGAAGGCAGUGACUUUUGACCCCAGUUACAGUGGUCUGACCA